RNAcentral lists this ribosomal RNA (470 nucleotides) under uncultured bacterium. RNAcentral's name for it is "partial 16S ribosomal RNA". It matches the Rfam family "Bacterial small subunit ribosomal RNA", at positions 355 to 835 of the family's 1533-position model. The record is from RNAcentral.
UGGGGAAUAUUGGACAAUGGGCGGAAGCCUGAUCCAGCAACGCCGCGUGAGGGAUGACGGCCUUCGGGUUGUAAACCUCUUUUCAGUACCGACGAAGCGAAAGUGACGGUAGGUACAGAAGAAGGACCGGCCAACUACGUGCCAGCAGCCGCGGUAAUACGUAAGGGUCCGAGCGUUGUCCGGAAUUAUUGGGCGUAAAGGGCUCGUAGGCGGUUUGUCGCGUCGGGAGUGAAAACAGCGGGCUUAACUCGUUGCUUGCUUUCGAUACGGGCAGACUAGAGGUAUGCAGGGGAGAAUGGAAUUCCUGGUGUAGCGGUGAAAUGCGCAGAUAUCAGGAGGAACACCGGUGGCGAAGGCGGUUCUCUGGGCAUUACCUGACGCUGAGGAGCGAAAGUGUGGGGAGCGAACAGGAUUAGAUACCCUGGUAGUCCGCACCGUAAACGUUGGGCGCUAGGUGUGGGUCCUUCACG